Long non-coding RNA from Dreissena polymorpha, 433 nucleotides. RefSeq lists it as uncharacterized. The transcript has 2 exons. The record is from RefSeq and is a predicted model, not a curated record. NCBI's taxonomy places the organism in Eukaryota, Metazoa, Mollusca, Bivalvia, Myida, Dreissenidae.
UGGCGGCGUGCUCGAAAAUGUUAAAGUUCUUAUUUCAUGGUAUAACUUUGGUAUGCUUGGACCUAGAGUCUUCAAACUUGACAUGAAGGUUGGCCAGGAUUAACAGAUGACCACUGGUCAUUUCAAGGUCAUUCAUUUGAAGGUGAAGGUCACUGUGACCUUCAAUAUAAAAAUGUUAAAGUUGUUAUAACUUUGGUAUGCUUGGACCUAGAGUCUUGAAACUUGACAUGAAGGUUGGCCAGAACUAGUAAGUAACCACUGGACAUUUCAAGGUCAUUCAUUUGAAGGUCAAGGUCACUGUGACCUUGAAUGUAAAAAUGUUAAAUAAAUAGUAUUAUUUCAUCUAAGUUUAUUUUCUUACAUUUGAUAAUGAAAUUGAUGGAAACUUCAAACAAUAUGUUACUAAUUUGCUAAUAAAAAAAUUGAGAUCAAA